Molecule: ribosomal RNA, 254 nt
Filed under: uncultured bacterium
Lineage: Bacteria
Description: partial 16S ribosomal RNA
Rfam family: Bacterial small subunit ribosomal RNA
Source: RNAcentral
UACGGGGGGGGGUAAGCGUUGUUCGGAAUUACUGGGCGUAAAGGGCUCGUAGGCGGCCAACUAAGUCAUACGUGAAAUCCCUCAGCUUAACUGGGGAACUGCGUGUGAUACUGGAUGGCUUGGAUUUGGGAGAGGGAUGCGGAAUUCCAGGUGUAGCGGUGAAAUGCGUAGAUAUCUGGAGGAACGCCGGUGGCGAAGGCGGCAUCCUGGACCAAUAUUGACGCUGAGGAGCGAAAGCCAGGGGAGCAAACGGG